ACUCUUCUUAUUUAGACAUCUAAACAAGAUGUGAGUCAUGCUGUUGUGAAAAAAUAAGAGUUAACAUCUCACUUGUAUCCCACUGUGUGUUCCCAGCACUGGUUUCCCACCGUGUGUUAGUGCAAUAGGUUACACAGUGCAAUAGAGAACACAGGUGUCUGCUGCUUGAUGCAACUCGUAUCUUCCAGUAGAGUCCUUGCAGUGCUCUCAGUGUGACCAGGAUGUCAAUGUCCAAGCCUGGUGGCAUCUGGGCUUCCCUGCCCUGGGCAGGUGGAGUGGGCUGCAGGAGCCCUGCCAGGUCUCUGCUGCAUCCCUGCAGGUGCUGGAGCUCUUGCAUCUACCCAGCUUUAUUACAGCAUUAUGAUGAGGCCACCUCUGAAGUGCUGUGGGAUAAGUUGAUCUACGGGCAGCUUGCAACCAGGCCGCUACAGCUGCAGCAACACAUGCUCAGAUUUGGAUGUGACCAGAAUUUUCUGCCACAAACUGCAUGAGGUCCUGCGUUUUCCCAGAAGCCAUGCAGACUUUUGUUUUCUGGUGUUGGGCUAGAAUCUUCUCAUCCAGUUCAUAAAUGACUGCUUGCAAUUUCAUGCUCACUCUCUGUCCUAAGUACCCACGCAUUGCACCCCACGUGUUGGUGCUUGUGUGCAGCAUACAAAACCUGCUCUCUGGCUGUGCAAUUUCUCCUGGUUGAGGAAGAGGAGAGGCUUGUCCCAACAGAUCCAUCAUCUGCUUCCUGAAUUGCUCUGCAAGGAACCGGCUUUCCUUCCAAGCUCAAAGCAAUGAUUCACCGUCAGCACACGGUCCAGCAGCAGCUGGGAGUCACAUACACGUGAGACCUCUCAACCCACAGGAGCUGAAGAGACGAGCAAAUCCAGCCAGUUCCCAGACAUUCAACGUGGCGUAUCCCACACUGAACCUUUCUCAUAAUCUUAUUUAUAAUUUCCCAUCAGUGUUUUCUCCAGGGCCCUUGUAUUUUCCCCUUUUGUCAGGAUAGAUAAUGAAUGCAGUCACUUUGGAACUUUUAGCAUCAAAAUGACAUAGAUGUAAAUAAGGCUCAUAAAUCUCAUGACCCUUCAUGUCCAAGGGCAAAAGUACUGUAG
Molecule: long non-coding RNA, 1100 nt
Filed under: Gallus gallus (chicken)
Lineage: Eukaryota; Metazoa; Chordata; Aves; Galliformes; Phasianidae
Description: lncRNA (ENSGALG00010003118.1)
Source: RNAcentral